AUAACAAAGGACGUGGUCAAUGGAGGCCCGAACUGAACGUUAACAUGGAUUAUCCGUGUGCGAGACAACAACAAGGAACUGAUUGGUGCGGGUACUACGUAUGCGACUACUUGCACAUCAUGACUCCAUGUGGGAAGACUACUGAUGAAGAAAUGAGAAUGUCUCAAAUGGGUGAUGAAUGUUACUCUACUGAUCGGAUCAACGCCGUGUGCG
Panicum virgatum (switchgrass) is the source of this 213-nucleotide long non-coding RNA. RefSeq lists it as uncharacterized. The transcript is spliced from 3 exons. The record is from RefSeq and is a predicted model, not a curated record. NCBI's taxonomy places the organism in Eukaryota, Viridiplantae, Streptophyta, Magnoliopsida, Poales, Poaceae.